CCUACGGGAGGCAGCAGUGGGGAAUAUUGCACAAUGGGCGCAAGCCUGAUGCAGCGACGCCGCGUGAGGGAUGACGGCCUUCGGGUUGUAAACCUCUUUCAGUAGGGAAGAAGCGAAAGUGACGGUACCUGCAGAAGAAGCGCCGGCUAACUACGUGCCAGCAGCCGCGGUAAUACGUAGGGCGCAAGCGUUAUCCGGAAUUAUUGGGCGUAAAGAGCUCGUAGGCGGUUUGUCGCGUCUGCCGUGAAAGUCCGGGGCUCAACUCCGGAUCUGCGGUGGGUACGGGCAGACUAGAGUGAUGUAGGGGAGACUGGAAUUCCUGGUGUAGCGGUGAAAUGCGCAGAUAUCAGGAGGAACACCGAUGGCGAAGGCAGGUCUCUGGGCAUUAACUGACGCUGAGGAGCGAAAGCAUGGGGAGCGAACAGGAUUAGAUACCCUGGUAGUCCAUGCCGUAAACGUUGGGCACUAGGUNUGGGGGACAUCCACGUUUCCGCGCGUAGCUACGCAUAGUGCCCGCGNGGGAGGUACGGCCGGCGAGGAACGUAAACGUACGAAUUAGUAGUUAGUUACGGCGUUGAGACGNGCCGACGGACGACGACGAGGGAGGAGG
Molecule: ribosomal RNA, 610 nt
Filed under: uncultured bacterium
Lineage: Bacteria
Description: bacterial SSU rRNA
Rfam family: Bacterial small subunit ribosomal RNA (bases 1-518)
Source: RNAcentral